GGCAUGCAGCUACAAAAAGCAGCAUAAUAGUUCCCCAUUUAUGCUCCUUUUUUCUCUGUAUUUUCCUCAAGACAUAUUGUAAGAAAUGCCAUCAAGGAAGAACUUCAUGGUUCAAAGAAGAUACAGACAUAACAAGGCUAACAAGGUGGAGUGUUUCCCUGUGUUCAAUGGAAUUAGAUGAGAUGAUGAUAAUAAGCUCUUCUAUCCCAAAAAUCUCUAAGUUAAGAUGUGCGCUUAGUCUCAGAACAGCAUACUGCAGUGACAAACCUUGCAAUUCAGAGCCAUUCCUUAAAUAACAGAUGAAAUAAAUUACCUGGAGAACCCAAAGUCGCGCAUUUGUGGACAGCCGGCAAACCUCACACAUUGUUUCUAAAUUUAAAAAGCUUGAGAAAAGAGGAGGUUCAUCCCCUGCUAACAAAGGUGGCUGUGAGUUGGAGAAUGUGUGGAGACAUGCAGACUUCUUCUGCAAAACCAAGUCGGGCUCCUGCAAAGCUUCUGAUGUGGAGGUGCCCCAGCACUUGGGUGACCCUGGGAAAGUGAGGGGGAGCAUUUGCUGCAUGGUUGUUGUUGCUGCUUUCCAGAUCAGGGCAGUGUGGUUUUGUAACAGGAAGGACUGGGUGACAUAUUCAUGCUUCUGGGGCAGUAAGGAAUCAUAGAAACUCUGCUCCUUAUUAAAUGGGUGGAAAUGUGCUGCAGUGAAAACCUGCUAAUGGACACUUGGGUCUGUGCACUCUCUGUGUGCUUUGGCCUUAUGGAAGAUCAAGUUUAAGUGUAUUUUUUCCUUUUUUUUUUUUUUUUCUUUCUUUUUAAUGAGCACGGUGAUGGUUAAAAGAACCUAAGCUAAACUUAACCUUACAGUCUGUUAAAUCAAUGGGAUGACACCACUCUGAAACUAUUCUGAUAUGCAGAAACUGUACUACCACA
This 924-nucleotide long non-coding RNA is filed under the name Coturnix japonica (Japanese quail). Its description in RNAcentral is "lncRNA (ENSCJPG00005018677.1)". Lineage: Eukaryota; Metazoa; Chordata; Aves; Galliformes; Phasianidae. The record is from RNAcentral.